GCGACGAGGGAGACGAGAGAUUUUUGGAACGGGAGCUGAACCGGGCGGUUCGAGCCAAACCGCCCGGUUCACCUGUUUUCACCUAAACCGCCCAGUUCAUCCGGUUUUCCCGGUCCACUUGCCCGACCGGUCCAGUGCGCUAGGAAGACCGCAGUGAGCUCCGGUUCCGAUUUUUCCCGGUCGGACCGCCGGUCCGGUCCGGUUUUCAAAACUAGGCUUGCACCUAGGUGCACCGGUCCCAAGUCCGGUCAGAAAGAGAGAAAACGGAAGAAAAAAUAAAAAUAGAUUGAGGAAAUAUAUCAUGAUUAGCAGUUUAGCACGUCA
RNAcentral lists this long non-coding RNA (324 nucleotides) under Brachypodium distachyon (stiff brome). RNAcentral describes it as "long non-coding RNA (BDIS_LNC002576)". The record is from RNAcentral. Lineage: Eukaryota; Viridiplantae; Streptophyta; Magnoliopsida; Poales; Poaceae.